GCUUUGCUGCUUUGCAGGAGGCUGUGCAGGACAAUCAGCAACUAGAAGUGCAGUGGGAUGCCUUUCGGAGGCGUUUGGAUGAUGAGUUACAACUGAGCGCUAAAAUACUGGAGGGGAACCAUCAGUCAAAGUCUACUUCACCAGAUACAUCUCUCAUUGAUGCCGAAACAGGUGGAACAAUGACAUUAGAGAAAUAUCUUGGUAAAGAUAAAAAAGACCCUGCUAAUUUUGAUCUGUCAGUUCUCGUCACUACUCGGCCAUCUCCACCUUAAAGAUCUGGAGAAGAAUAAGGUGAUGUCCACCUCUUUGGGCUCCGGUUUCCUCUGCAGCUGAAUCAGAUGAACAAACAUUUUGUUAACAGCCAUUUUAAGUGGACACCAUAUCGACAACGUAACAUGAUCCUUCCAAUAUUUACGAAGCCCCUGAUGCGUUUGGAUCAAUAAGUUAAUUCACACAUUUCUGUGGACUGCAAUCAAAGGGGGAUCAGCUGUCAUGUGCAGGUCCCAGGCUGGGGAUAGCCUGCUGCUGAAUGGGGGAAAUGCACGGACGUGAGAACCCCUUGCAAACCCCCCAUCUGCACGUCAUGGAACAUUUACAGAACAGGGACCUCCCAUAUUUAAGGCGUGCAACAGAGCGCAUACACAACAGCGAGACCUGCCAUGCACCGGACUCACCACCUUAGGUGAAUAGGCUACACCGCCAAAGACGGAUACCGCUUGAUAGUGUAGAUCGGCGGGUGAGGAAGCAUAGAAUAACGGCCUUAAAACCCAAGCAUGACCGCGGUGUGAAACAGCGGGGAACGGAGGUUUAGCGGCCUCUGCGCAACGGGCAAAUCAUGUCAUUCCACCGAAAUUCUGAUACAAACCAGGGAAUCUUGUGUUCCAGGGUGGACAGUGCAACACGGGUGUAAGGAUCAAU
This is a long non-coding RNA of Etheostoma cragini (Arkansas darter), 918 nucleotides long. RefSeq lists it as uncharacterized. The record is from RefSeq and is a predicted model, not a curated record. Lineage: Eukaryota; Metazoa; Chordata; Actinopteri; Perciformes; Percidae. The transcript is spliced from 6 exons.